UUAAAUUGCAUAAAGUAAAUGACUUGAAAGUAAAGCAAUAUUAAUAAGAGUUAGUCAAAUGUUAGUCAAGGUUAAUUGAAUGUUAGUGAUGUUUUGCUUUUUAAUUGAUUAAGUCAUUCUUUGGAGAAUACUCAACCAUCUAUUCAUAAGCAUGGACCCUUGAACCAAGACAUCUUCCAUAGGAAGGAAAAAAGGCCAAGUUUCUACAUAAUACCAUGAAAGAUGGGAGACUUACA
This 236-nucleotide long non-coding RNA is filed under the name Lathyrus oleraceus (garden pea). RNAcentral describes it as "Pisum sativum (pea) long non-coding RNA (PSAT_LNC013607)". Lineage: Eukaryota; Viridiplantae; Streptophyta; Magnoliopsida; Fabales; Fabaceae. The record is from RNAcentral.